UACGGAGGAUGCGAGCGUUAUCCGGAUUUAUUGGGUUUAAAGGGUGCGUAGGCGGGAUGCCAAGUCAGCGGUAAAAAUGCGGUGCUCAACGCCGUCGAGCCGUUGAAACUGGCGUUCUUGAGUGGGCGAGAAGUAUGCGGAAUGCGUGGUGUAGCGGUUAAAUGCAUAGAUAUCGCGCAGAACUCCGAUUGCGAAGGCAGCAUACCGGCGCCCUACUGACGCUGAGGCACGAAAGCGUGGGUAUCGAACAGG
Molecule: ribosomal RNA, 252 nt
Filed under: uncultured bacterium
Lineage: Bacteria
Description: partial 16S ribosomal RNA
Rfam family: Bacterial small subunit ribosomal RNA
Source: RNAcentral